Molecule: non-coding RNA, 85 nt
Organism: Brassica napus (rape)
Lineage: Eukaryota; Viridiplantae; Streptophyta; Magnoliopsida; Brassicales; Brassicaceae
Source: Rfam
GAGCUGUGAUGAAAUUGUGGCUUAAGCGAUGGUUGGGUCCUUCGCAAUCUUCUGGUAUCCAGAUGACAUCGCCGCACCUGAGCUC